This 433-nucleotide ribosomal RNA is filed under the name uncultured bacterium. Its description in RNAcentral is "partial 16S ribosomal RNA". It matches the Rfam family "Bacterial small subunit ribosomal RNA", at positions 29 to 507 of the family's 1533-position model. The record is from RNAcentral.
AACGAACGCUGGCGGCAUGCCUAACACAUGCAAGUCGAACGAGACCUUCGGGUCUAGUGGCGCACGGGUGCGUAACGCGUGGGAACCUGCCCUUAGGUUCGGAAUAACUCCCCGAAAGGGGUGCUAAUACCGGAUAAUGUCUUCGGACCAAAGAUUUAUCGCCUUUGGAUGGGCCCGCGUUGGAUUAGCUAGUUGGUAGGGUAAAAGCCUACCAAGGCGACGAUCCAUAGCUGGUCUGAGAGGAGGAUCAGCCACACUGGGACUGAGACACGGCCCAGACUCCUACGGGAAGCAGCAGUGGGGAAUAUUGGACAAUGGGCGAAAGCCUGAUCCAGCAAUGCCGCGUGAGUGAUGAAGGCCUUAGGGUUGUAAAGCUCUUUUACCCGGGAUGAUAAUGACGGUACCGGGAGAAUAAGCUCCGGCUAACUCCGUG